GGCAAGAUGGCCGAGCGGAACCAGGCUCGUCCGAGUUGCGGGUGUGGGUUCAAAUCCCACUCUUGUCA
This 68-nucleotide transfer RNA is filed under the name Ganoderma leucocontextum. RNAcentral describes it as "tRNA-Leu". It matches the Rfam family "tRNA". Rfam says of the family: Transfer RNA (tRNA) molecules are approximately 80 nucleotides in length. Lineage: Eukaryota; Fungi; Basidiomycota; Agaricomycetes; Polyporales; Polyporaceae. The record is from RNAcentral.